GACGAACGCUGGCGGCGUGCUUAACACAUGCAAGUCGAACGCUGAAGCUCAGCUUUUGUUGGGUGGAUGAGUGGCGAACGGGUGAGUAACACGUGAGUAACCUGCCCCCUUCUUUGGGAUAACGCCCGGAAACGGGUGCUAAUACUGGAUAUUCACUGGUCUUCGCAUGGGGGUUGGUGGAAAGGGUUUUUCUGGUGGGGGAUGGGCUCGCGGCCUAUCAGCUUGUUGGUGGGGUGAUGGCCUACCAAGGCUUUGACGGGUAGCCGGCCUGAGAGGGUGACCGGUCACAUUGGGACUGAGAUACGGCCCAGACUCCUACGGGAGGCAGCAGUGGGGAAUAUUGCACAAUGGGCGCAAGCCUGAUGCAGCGACGCCGCGUGAGGGAUGGAGGCCGUCGGGUUGUGAACCUCUUUCGCUCAUGGUCAAGCCGCAACAAUAGUUGUGGUGAGGGUAGUGGGUAAAGAAGCGCCGGCUAACUACGUG
RNAcentral lists this ribosomal RNA (483 nucleotides) under uncultured bacterium. Its description in RNAcentral is "partial 16S ribosomal RNA". It matches the Rfam family "Bacterial small subunit ribosomal RNA", at positions 28 to 507 of the family's 1533-position model. The record is from RNAcentral.